This is a non-coding RNA of Pelobates cultripes (western spadefoot toad), 307 nucleotides long. The record is from the annotation of a GenBank genome assembly. NCBI's taxonomy places the organism in Eukaryota, Metazoa, Chordata, Amphibia, Anura, Pelobatidae.
CCAUCAUGGGGGUAAUUCUCAUUCCUGGGCUACCAUACGCUCUCAAAGGCAGCGUAACCAACCUGGCCAUUUUCAAUGUAAAAAUAUUUGACCCAUAUAUUUGACCUUGUAACUUUCAAAAAUGCUAUAAAACCUGUACAUGGGGGGUACUGUUUUACUCAGGAGACAUCGCUGAACACAAAUAUUAGUGUUUAAAAACUGGAAAACGUAUCACAACAAUUACAUCAUCAGUAAAAGUGCUGUUUGUGUGUGAAAAAUGCAAAAAAAGUAACUUUCACUGACAAUAUCAUCGCUGUGAUAUGUUUUA